UACGUAGGGUGCGAGCGUUACUCGGAAUUACUGGGCGUAAAGGGCGCGUAGGCGGCAUGAUAAGUCAGGCGUGAAAUUCCCGGGCUCAACCUGGGGACUGCGCUUGAGACUGUUGAGCUAGAGGAUGGAAGAGGGUGGUGGAAUUCCCAGUGUAGAGGUGAAAUGCGUAGAUAUGGGGAAGAACACCGGUGGCGAAGGCGGCGACCUGGUCUAUUACUGACGCUGAGGCGCGAAAGCGUGGGGAGCAAACAGG
RNAcentral lists this ribosomal RNA (253 nucleotides) under uncultured bacterium. RNAcentral's name for it is "partial 16S ribosomal RNA". It matches the Rfam family "Bacterial small subunit ribosomal RNA", at positions 524 to 776 of the family's 1533-position model. The record is from RNAcentral.